CAGCCCCAUGAUAUCCAGACUGGGCUUCUGUCUCCCAUGCGGAUAUGGUGCCCCGCCCUGGGGACUUUUGACAUCCCAGGUUCUGAGGGGCCU
This is a small nucleolar RNA of Choloepus hoffmanni (Hoffmann's two-fingered sloth), 93 nucleotides long. The record is from Ensembl. Lineage: Eukaryota; Metazoa; Chordata; Mammalia; Pilosa; Megalonychidae.